Molecule: long non-coding RNA, 1509 nt
Organism: Cercocebus atys (sooty mangabey)
Lineage: Eukaryota; Metazoa; Chordata; Mammalia; Primates; Cercopithecidae
Exons: 3
Source: RefSeq, a predicted model, not a curated record
CAGUGUCUGGCAGGUGCUUCCUACAGAUCUAUUGAUGAAGACCGGACAGACACAAGAAGCUCUAGUUCGGGAAGAAGAAUAAUGCACUGUGUACCUAUUGCAAGCCAGACACUGUUCUAAGUUCAUUUAAUACUCACAACAACCCUGUGAGGCAAGUGCUAUUGCCACCCUCAGUUUACAGCUAAGGAAACUGAAGAACAGAGUGGUUAAGUAACUUACACGAGGCCUCUCAGCUACGAAAUAGUAAAGCCAGGAUGGAUUUGAAUCUGGAGCCUCUGCUCUUAACCAGUAUACCUAUUGCCUUUCAAACUAACAGAAAUGAGACCAAGAGCUAAAUUUCAAGGUUAGAGGCAUCAGCAUCAAACAGACUGGAUGCAAACAUUGGCUCUGACCUUGACCUUACUCAACUAAGCUGAGCCUCAAUUUUUUCAAAUGUGAAAUGGACAUUAUAAUAAUAUUUGCCUCAUCUUUCAUAUGGUUGAUUUUAAAACUCUAUGGAUCUGUUGUAAUCAUAACGGCAAGGCCUGUGUGCCGUGACCUUGUGAAUCUUUCAGAUUUGAACUGCUGCUGCCAACCCUAAUCUCAACCCUGUGAGAAAUGACAUUCACAGAGGAUUGCCUGGAGUGUAUUUAAUGUAUCUCUUCCUAUAGAUUUUUGACGGAACCAGACCAUCAACGCCUGUGCUCUUGGAACUCUGACCUUCCCUAAUGAACCUUGUUUUCGUCUGCCUGGCAUCCCUUCCUGUGACACAUAUUGUCCCACUCCAUAUGGUCCCUACAGAGCUGCCAAUCAGAGUGCCCGGCCCCACCUCCAUCACAGGUGUGGGUACCUGACUGCUGGCAAAAAUGCCCCACUCGCCUGGCCACAAGGGUGGCCACAGAACUCAAGGUUCUUCCUUCAUCCCAACAUUGAGAUUUUCCACUGUUUUACCUCAUGAAAGUUUAGAGCCUCAGAUCAUCAGUUUUCCUUUGACCUAUGGCAUGAAUUAUUUAGACAAUAUGUUUUAAUUUUCAAACCUAUAGAUUUUUUGUUUUUACUGAUUAACUUUAUUAUUCUAUUUAGAGAAAGUGAUUUAUAUAAAUGCCAAUUCUUUGAACUUUAUUUAGGCUUGCUUUCUGUACUAGCAUGUGUCAGUUGUUAUAAAACAUAUCUUGGGUGCUUGAAAAUAAUGUUUUCCUAAAUUAAUUGGUGAAAAGUUCUAUGGAAGUCACUAAUUAUUGUGAUGUUCAAAUCACUAAUAUUUUUAUGAAUUUUUUUGUUUUCUAUCUACUUGGUCUGUAAAUCUCCCAUUAUAAUGAUGGAUAAGUCAAUUUCUCCAUGUUAUUCUAAUUUUUGCUAUCUUUUGAAGGCGUGUUAGUAGGUAUUUGCAAGUCUGGAAUUGUUAAAUCUUCCUGUGAAAUUAAUUUUGUAGCAAUAUGUGUAACUCUCUUUAUGAUUAGUAUAAUUUUUAAACUUAAAGCCUAUUUCAUCUGUUAUCAGUCUGGCUGCACCAGCUUUCUUUCAAUAAAA